UAAUAACUUUACGGAUCACAACAAUUUAUUUAGGUGACAUAUCAUCAAGUUUCUGACCUAUCAGCUUUAGAACGGUAGGGUAUGGGCCUACCGGUGGCUAUGACGGGUAACGGGGAAUUAGGGUUCGAUUCCGGAGAGGGAGCCUGAGAAACGGCUACCACAUCUAAGGAAGGCAGCAGGCGCGCAAAUUACCCAAUCCUAAUACAGGGAGGUAGUGACAAGAAAUAACAAUACAGGACUUUACGGUUUGGUAAUGGGAAUGAGUUAAGUAUAAACCCCUUUACAAGUAUCAAUGGGAGGGCAAGUCUGGUGCCAGCAGCCGCGGUAAUUCCAGCUCCAAUAGCGUAUAUUAAAGUUGUUGCAGUUAAAAAGCUCGUAGUUGGAUUCUGUUAAUACCUUAUAUAUAAUAUUUUUUUUUAAAUAUUAUUAUGUAAGAUUAACAUAAUUCAUAUUUUUUAAGACUGAAUUUUUAGUUUUGAUAAUAUGAAAUUUUACUUUGAGAAAAUUAGAGUGCUUAAAGCAGGCUUUUGCCUUGAAUACUCCAGCAUGGAAUAAUAAUAAAAGAUUUUUAUCUUUUUUUUAUUGGUUCUAAGAUAAAAAUAAUGAUUAAUAGGGACAGUUGGGGGCAUUUGUAUUUAACAGUCAGAGGUGAUAUUCUUAGAUUUGUUAAAGACAACUAAUGCGAAAGCAUUGCCAAGGAUG
Molecule: ribosomal RNA, 702 nt
Filed under: Cryptosporidium felis
Lineage: Eukaryota; Apicomplexa; Conoidasida; Eucoccidiorida; Cryptosporidiidae
Description: partial small subunit ribosomal RNA
Rfam family: Eukaryotic small subunit ribosomal RNA
Source: RNAcentral